GGCGGUGAGGUCGAACAGUUAGACAAUUCCUUGGCAAGGGAGUUUAAGUGGGUUCAAUUUCCACCGCCGCCUCCA
Molecule: transfer RNA, 75 nt
Filed under: uncultured Truepera sp.
Lineage: Bacteria; Thermotogati; Deinococcota; Deinococci; Trueperales; Trueperaceae
Description: tRNA-Ala-GGC
Rfam family: tRNA
About the family: Transfer RNA (tRNA) molecules are approximately 80 nucleotides in length. Their secondary structure includes four short double-helical elements and three loops (D, anti-codon, and T loops). Further hydrogen bonds mediate the characteristic L-shaped molecular structure. tRNAs have two regions of fundamental functional importance: the anti-codon, which is responsible for specific mRNA codon recognition, and the 3' end, to which the tRNAs corresponding amino acid is attached (by aminoacyl-tRNA synthetases). tRNAs cope with the degeneracy of the genetic code in two manners: having more than one tRNA (with a specific anti-codon) for a particular amino acid; and 'wobble' base-pairing, i.e. permitting non-standard base-pairing at the 3rd anti-codon position.
Source: RNAcentral